RNAcentral lists this long non-coding RNA (546 nucleotides) under Physcomitrium patens. RNAcentral's name for it is "long non-coding RNA (PPAT_LNC008513)". The record is from RNAcentral. Lineage: Eukaryota; Viridiplantae; Streptophyta; Bryopsida; Funariales; Funariaceae.
UCACUGCCUCGACAAGCGACAACCCACCGACACACUCAGCAAGCUGCACGUAACCCCACCUUAAAAUCAAAGCCAAAUGUUCCUCCACCUACUUCACGGACCCUUCGCAACAGUGGUUCGACCGAUUUUGUAGCUAUAUCUAAUCAUGCGAGAAUAGAGAUCAGAACCACAGCCAUGGUUUAAUAUUCGUCCACAUAUCAUCUUUCAGAGUGGUAACGGAUUAAAAUGUUCAUCACUUCUCUUGACCACACUCGAUACCUAACAUACAUGCUCACCUCCAAGUGAGCACGGCAGCCCCAGAACCGUGACCCAGAUUUCCACCAAAAUCUAAGGUCCGGUCACUAAUUCAACGAUCCUUCGCAACAGUAGUUCAACGGAUCUUGUAGCAAUAUCAAACCACGCGGAAAUAGAGAUCAGAACCACAGCCAUGGUUUAAUAUUCGUCCACAUGUCAUCCUUCAGAGUGGUAACGGAUUAAAAUGUUCAUCACUUCUCUUGACCAAACAGGAUAACCUCACAGCAUUACACAAAGCGGAGUCACCCAAAC